This 449-nucleotide ribosomal RNA is filed under the name uncultured bacterium. RNAcentral's name for it is "partial 16S ribosomal RNA". It matches the Rfam family "Bacterial small subunit ribosomal RNA", at positions 29 to 523 of the family's 1533-position model. The record is from RNAcentral.
AACGAACGCUGGCGGCAUGCCUAAUACAUGCAAGUCGAACGAUCACUUCGGUGGUAGUGGCGCACGGGUGCGUAACGCGUGGGAAUCUACCCUUGGGUUCGGAAUAACAGUUAGAAAUGACUGCUAAUACCGGAUGAUGACGAAAGUCCAAAGAUUUAUCGCCCAAGGAUGAGCCCGCGUAGGAUUAGCUAGUUGUUGAGGUAAAAGCUCACCAAGGCGACGAUGCUUAGCUGGUCUGAGAGGAUGAUCAGCCACACUGGGACUGAGACACGGCCCAGACUCCUACGGGAGGCAGCAGUAGGGAAUAUUGGACAAUGGGGGCAACCCGGAUCCAGCAAUGCCGCGUGAGUGAUGAAGGCCUUAGGGUUGUAAAGCUCUUUUACCCGAGAUGAUGAUGACAGUAUCGGGAGAAUAAGCUCCGGCUAACUCCGUGCCAGCAGCCGCCGCAG